Molecule: ribosomal RNA, 250 nt
Filed under: uncultured prokaryote
Description: partial 16S ribosomal RNA
Rfam family: Bacterial small subunit ribosomal RNA
Source: RNAcentral
UACGUAGGGGGCAAGCGUUGUCCGGAAUGACUGGGCGUAAAGGGAGCGUAGGUGGCGUAUUAAGUUAAAUGUGAAAGCCCGGGGCUCAACUCCGGAAUGUCAUUUAAUACUGGUAUGCUUGAGUGCAGGAGAGGUAAGCGGAAUUCCUAGUGUAGCGGUUAAAUGCGUAGAUAUUAGGAAGAACACCAGAGGCGAAGGCGGCUUGCUGGAAUGUAACUGACACUGAGGCUCGAAAGCGCGGGUAUCAAAC